This 37-nucleotide ribosomal RNA is filed under the name Trebouxia sp. H5.10.19. Its description in RNAcentral is "partial 26S ribosomal RNA". RNAcentral also lists the same sequence under 1 other name. Lineage: Eukaryota; Viridiplantae; Chlorophyta; Trebouxiophyceae; Trebouxiales; Trebouxiaceae. The record is from RNAcentral.
AGGUCAGGCAAGAACACCCGCUGAACUUAAGCAUAUC